AAAGCCGAUAGAGGAGCAAAUGACAAGAGUAGGAUUGUGGAGUUUUGCAAACGACGAAACAAUUUGAAAGGGGAUUUUGCCGAAAUGGAAAAGAAGCUAAACUUUUCUGUUGGCAAUAUGAAUAAUAUUCAUAUUGCUGUCAUUGAUAAAAAAGGUCAGUGGAGAGCUAUCUGUGUG
Molecule: non-coding RNA, 177 nt
Organism: Fusobacterium mortiferum ATCC 9817
Lineage: Bacteria; Fusobacteriati; Fusobacteriota; Fusobacteriia; Fusobacteriales; Fusobacteriaceae
Source: Rfam